This 233-nucleotide ribosomal RNA is filed under the name Xylella fastidiosa subsp. multiplex. RNAcentral's name for it is "partial 23S ribosomal RNA". It matches the Rfam family "Bacterial large subunit ribosomal RNA", at positions 924 to 1155 of the family's 2925-position model. Lineage: Bacteria; Pseudomonadati; Pseudomonadota; Gammaproteobacteria; Lysobacterales; Lysobacteraceae. The record is from RNAcentral.
GGGUCAUCGCGACUUGCCAAACCAUUGCAAACUCCGAAUACCGAGAAGGCCUGUAUGGGAGACACACGGCGGGUGCUAACGGCCGUCGUGAAAAGGGAAACAACCCAGACCCACAGCUAAGGUCCCAAAUGCAUAGCUAAGUGGAAAACGAUGUGGAAAGGCAUAGACAGACCGGAGGUUGGCUUAGAAGCAGACAUCCUUUAAAGAAACCGUAAUAUCUCGCUGGUCGAGUC